GUCGAACGAUGAUGCCCAGCUUGCUGGGUGGAUUAGUGGCGAACGGGUGAGUAACACGUGAGUAACCUGCCCCUGACUCUGGGAUAAGCGUUGGAAACGACGUCUAAUACUGGAUAUGAUCACUGGCCGCAUGGUCUGGUGGUGGAAAGAUUUUUUGGUUGGGGAUGGACUCGCGGCCUAUCAGCUUGUUGGUGAGGUAAUGGCUCACCAAGGCGACGACGGGUAGCCGGCCUGAGAGGGUGACCGGCCACACUGGGACUGAGACACGGCCCAGACUCCUACGGGAGGCAGCAGUGGGGAAUAUUGCACAAUGGGCGAAAGCCUGAUGCAGCAACGCCGCGUGAGGGAUGACGGCCUUCGGGUUGUAAACCUCUUUUAGUAGGGAAGAAGCGAAAGUGACGGUACCUGCAGAAAAAGCACCGGCUAACUACGUGCCAGCAGCCGCGGUAAUACGUAGGGUGCAAGCGUUGUCCGGAAUUAUUGGGCGUAAAGAGCUCGUAGGCGGUUUGUCGCGUCUGCUGUGAAAUCCCGAGGCUCAACCUCGGGCUUGCAGUGGGUACGGGCAGACUAGAGUGCGGUAGGGGAGAUUGGAAUUCCUGGUGUAGCGGUGGAAUGCGCAGAUAUCAGGAGGAACACCGAUGGCGAAGGCAGAUCUCUGGGCCGUAACUGACGCUGAGGAGCGAAAGCAUGGGGAGCGAACAGGAUUAGAUACCCUGGUAGUCCAUGCCGUAAACGUUGGGCGCUAGAUGUAGGGACCUUUCCACGGUUUCUGUGUCGUAGCUAACGCAUUAAGCGCCCCGCCUGGGGAGUACGGCCGCAAGGCUAAAACUCAAAGGAAUUGACGGGGGCCCGCACAAGCGGCGGAGCAUGCGGAUUAAUUCGAUGCAACGCGAAGAACCUUACCAAGGCUUGACAUACACCGGAAACGGCCAGAGAUGGUCGCCCCCUUGUGGUCGGUGUACAGGUGGUGCAUGGUUGUCGUCAGCUCGUGUCGUGAGAUGUUGGGUUAAGUCCCGCAACGAGCGCAACCCUCGUUCUAUGUUGCCAGCGGGUUAUGCCGGGGACUCAUAGGAGACUGCCGGGGUCAACUCGGAGGAAGGUGGGGAUGACGUCAAAUCAUCAUGCCCCUUAUGUCUUGGGCUUCACGCAUGCUACAAUGGCCGGUACAAAGGGCUGCGAUACCGUAAGGUGGAGCGAAUCCCAAAAAGCCGGUCUCAGUUCGGAUUGAGGUCUGCAACUCGACCUCAUGAAGUCGGAGUCGCUAGUAAUCGCAGAUCAGCAACGCUGCGGUGAAUACGUUCCCGGGCCUUGUACACACCGCCCGUCAAGUCAUGAAAGUCGGUAACACCCGAAGCCGGUGGCCUAACCCUUGGGAAGGAGCCGUC
Molecule: ribosomal RNA, 1385 nt
Filed under: Curtobacterium sp. CC9D
Lineage: Bacteria; Bacillati; Actinomycetota; Actinomycetes; Micrococcales; Microbacteriaceae
Description: bacterial SSU rRNA
Rfam family: Bacterial small subunit ribosomal RNA
Source: RNAcentral